RNAcentral lists this ribosomal RNA (253 nucleotides) under uncultured bacterium. RNAcentral describes it as "partial 16S ribosomal RNA". It matches the Rfam family "Bacterial small subunit ribosomal RNA", at positions 524 to 776 of the family's 1533-position model. The record is from RNAcentral.
GACAGAGGGUGCAAACGUUGUUCGGAUUUACUGGGCGUAAAGCGCGUGUAGGCGGCUUUGCAAGUCGGAUGUGAAAGCCCACGGCUCAACCGUGGAAGUGCAUCCGAAACGGCAUGGCUCGAGUCUCGGAGAGGAAGGUGGAAUGCUUGGUGUAGAGGUGAAAUUCGUAGAUAUCAAGCAGAACACCUGCGGCGAAGGCGGCCUUCUGGACGAUGACUGACGCUGAGACGCGAAAGCGUGGGGAGCAAACAGG